AUUGAACGCUGGCGGCAUGCCUUACACAUGCAAGUCGAACGGUAACAGGUCUUCGGAUGCUGACGAGUGGCGAACGGGUGAGUAAUACAUCGGAACGUGCCCGAUCGCGGGGGAUAACGGAGCGAAAGCUUUGCUAAUACCGCAUACGAUCUACGGAUGAAAGCAGGGGACCGCAAGGCCUUGCGCGGACGGAGCGGCCGAUGGCAGAUUAGGUAGUUGGUGGGAUAAAAGCUUACCAAGCCGACGAUCUGUAGCUGGUCUGAGAGGACGACCAGCCACACUGGGACUGAGACACGGCCCAGACUCCUACGGGAGGCAGCAGUGGGGAAUUUUGGACAAUGGGCGAAAGCCUGAUCCAGCCAUGCCGCGUGCAGGAUGAAGGCCUUCGGGUUGUAAACUGCCUUUGUACGGAACGAAAAGACUCUUUCUAAUAAAGAGGGUCCAUGACGGUACCGUAAGAAUAAGCACCGGCUAACUACGUG
RNAcentral lists this ribosomal RNA (482 nucleotides) under uncultured bacterium. Its description in RNAcentral is "partial 16S ribosomal RNA". It matches the Rfam family "Bacterial small subunit ribosomal RNA", at positions 30 to 507 of the family's 1533-position model. The record is from RNAcentral.